AAUUCUCAACUUCAUCAGUUUUCAUGUGAGACUGUGAAGCUUGGAUAUGUUGGGGGUUGUGCAGGAAAAACACAUUGUAAACCUGCUCUCCUUAAAUUGAUUAGCAAGUUCAAACUGGGCUUCUGUCUAUUGGUGUGAUAAUUAUCUACACCGUGGAUUGAGCUUAGACUUGCUUCUAACUGUCUGAAAGGACAAAUGUACUUUGAUAA
Molecule: unclassified non-coding RNA, 209 nt
Filed under: Psathyrella gordonii
Lineage: Eukaryota; Fungi; Basidiomycota; Agaricomycetes; Agaricales; Psathyrellaceae
Description: partial internal transcribed spacer 2
Source: RNAcentral